AACGAACGCUGGCGGUAUGCUUAACACAUGCAAGUCGAACGAACAAAGCCUAGCUUGCUAGGCCUAGUUAGUGGCAAACGGGUGAGUAACGCGUGGGAAUCUACCCAGUAGUACGGAAUAACAGUUGGAAACGACUGCUAAUACCGUAUAGUAUCGAGAGAGUAAAGAUUUAUCGCUACUGGAUGAGCCCGCGGAAGAUUAGGUAGUUGGUGGGGUAAUGGCCUACCAAGCCGAAGAUCUGUAGCUGGUCGGAGGGGAUGACAAGCCACACUGGAACUGAGACACGGUCAAGACUCCUACGGGAGGCAGCAGUGAGGAAUAUUGGACAGUGGGGAAAAGCCUGAUCCAGCAAUACCGCGUGAGUGAAGAAGGCCUAGGGUUGUAAAGCUCUUUCAGCAGGGAAAAUAACUGACGGUACCCUUGGAGGAAGCCCCGGCUAACUACGUGCCAGCCGCCGCCGUAA
RNAcentral lists this ribosomal RNA (463 nucleotides) under uncultured bacterium. Its description in RNAcentral is "partial 16S ribosomal RNA". It matches the Rfam family "Bacterial small subunit ribosomal RNA", at positions 29 to 523 of the family's 1533-position model. The record is from RNAcentral.